CGCUCGGCCAUCGGAGCGGCGAGAAUAGGGUACGUGGCUUUUUGGAAGAUAAGCGGACGUUUAGGGGUUUGGUUCCUUCGAGAAAGCGGUUUUAUGGGUCCCACAGCUGGAAAUCCGUACUCCCUGACACGAGCGCGCGUCGCUAUCGACACAUGGCCGGCCUCCGCGACGCGAAACCGCUGGCUUGUUAUGCGGAUGUCCGCUUGCAAUGA
This 212-nucleotide long non-coding RNA is filed under the name Elaeis guineensis (African oil palm). RNAcentral's name for it is "long non-coding RNA (EGUI_LNC001722)". Lineage: Eukaryota; Viridiplantae; Streptophyta; Magnoliopsida; Arecales; Arecaceae. The record is from RNAcentral.